This 746-nucleotide ribosomal RNA is filed under the name uncultured Finegoldia sp. RNAcentral describes it as "bacterial SSU rRNA". It matches the Rfam family "Bacterial small subunit ribosomal RNA", at positions 28 to 776 of the family's 1533-position model. The record is from RNAcentral. Lineage: Bacteria; Bacillati; Bacillota; Tissierellia; Tissierellales; Peptoniphilaceae.
GACGAACGCUGGCGGCGUGCUUAACACAUGCAAGUCGAACGGGAUUUAGUAGACGGAAGCCUCGGUGGAAGAUUACUAAUGAGAGUGGCGAACGGGUGAGUAACGCGUGAGCAACCUGCCUAUGACAGUGGGAUAGCCUCGGGAAACCGGGAUUAAUACCGCAUAAAAUCGUAGAAACACAUGUUUUAACGGUCAAAGAUUUAUCGGUCAUAGAUGGGCUCGCGUCUGAUUAGCUAGUUGGCGAGAUAACAGCCCACCAAGGCGACGAUCAGUAGCCGGUCUGAGAGGAUGAACGGCCACAUUGGAACUGAGACACGGUCCAAACUCCUACGGGAGGCAGCAGUGGGGAAUAUUGCACAAUGGGGGAAACCCUGAUGCAGCGACGCCGCGUGAACGAAGAAGGUAUUCGUAUCGUAAAGUUCUGUCCUAUGGGAAGAUAAUGACAGUACCAUAGAAGAAAGCUCCGGCUAAAUACGUGCCAGCAGCCGCGGUAAUACGUAUGGAGCGAGCGUUGUCCGGAAUUAUUGGGCGUAAAGGGUACGCAGGCGGUUUAAUAAGUCGAAUGUUAAAGAUCGGGGCUCAACCCCGUAAAGCAUUGGAAACUGAUAAACUUGAGUAGUGGAGAGGAAAGUGGAAUUCCUAGUGUAGUGGUGAAAUACGUAGAUAUUAGGAGGAAUACCAGUAGCGAAGGCGACUUUCUGGACACAAACUGACGCUGAGGUACGAAAGCGUGGGGAGCAAACAGG